AAAGAAACCAACAGGGAUUGCCCUAGUAACGGCGAGUGAAGCGGCAACAGCUCAAAUUUGAAAUCUGGCCCUUGCGGUCCGAGUUGUAAUUUGUAGAGGAUGCUUUUGGUUAGGUGCCUUCCGAGUGCCCUGGAACGGGACGCCAUAGAGGGUGAGAGCCCCGUCUGGUUGGACACCGAGCCUCUGUAAAGCUCCUUCGACGAGUCGAGUAGUUUGGGAAUGCUGCUCUAAAUGGGAGGUAUAUGUCUUCUAAAGCUAAAUAUUGGCCAGAGACCGAUAGCGCACAAGUAGAGUGAUCGAAAGAUGAAAAGCACUUUGAAAAGAGGGUUAAAAAGUACGUGAAAUUGUUGAAAGGGAAGCGCUUGUGACCAGACUUGGGCCCGGUCAAUCAUCCAGGGUUCUCCCUGGUGCACUUGGCCGGCCCAGGCCAGCAUCAGUUCGUCGCGGGGGAUAAAGACGUUGGGAAUGUGGCUCCUCCGGGAGUGUUAUAGCCCUUCGUGCAAUACCCUGCUUUGGACUGAGGUUCGCGCAUCUGCAAGGAUG
RNAcentral lists this ribosomal RNA (543 nucleotides) under Hypocreales sp. MMB112. Its description in RNAcentral is "eukaryotic LSU rRNA". It matches the Rfam family "Eukaryotic large subunit ribosomal RNA", at positions 58 to 625 of the family's 3401-position model. The record is from RNAcentral. Lineage: Eukaryota; Fungi; Ascomycota; Sordariomycetes; Hypocreales.